ACGAACGCUGGCGGCGUGCUUAACACAUGCACGUCGAACGAAAAUACCAAGCUUGCUUGGUUGAUUAGUGGCGAACGGGUGAGUAACACGUGAGUAACCUGCCCCUUACUUUCCUGGAUAACUGCUCGAAAGGGUAGCUAAUACGGGAUAUUCUGACCAGCCUGCAUGGGGUGGUUUGGAAAGGUUGUUUUUCUGGUAAGGGAUGGGCUCGCGGCCUAUCAGCUUGUUGGUGGGGUGAUGGCCUACCAAGGCUUUGACGGGUAGCCGGCCUGAGAGGGUGGACGGUCACACUGGGACUGAGAUACGGACCAGACUCCUACGGGAGGCAGCAGUGGGGAAUAUUGCACAAUGGGCGCAAGCCUGAUGCAGCGACGCCGCGUGAGGGAGGAAGGCCUUCGGGUUGUAAACCUCUUUCGUCAGGGAACAAGGCACUGCUUUUUUGGUGGUGUUGAGGGUACCUGGAUAAGAAGCGCCGGCUAACUACGUG
This 487-nucleotide ribosomal RNA is filed under the name uncultured bacterium. RNAcentral's name for it is "partial 16S ribosomal RNA". It matches the Rfam family "Bacterial small subunit ribosomal RNA", at positions 29 to 507 of the family's 1533-position model. The record is from RNAcentral.